CUACGGGUCGCUGCAGUGGGGAAUCUUGGACAAUGGGCGCAAGCCUGAUCCAGCCAUGCCGCGUGAGUGAAGAAGGCCUUAGGGUCGUAAAGCUCUUUCGCCAGAGAUGAUAAUGACAGUAUCUGGUAAAGAAACCCCGGCUAACUCCGUGCCAGCAGCCGCGGUAAUACGGAGGGGGUUAGCGUUGUUCGGAAUUACUGGGCGUAAAGCGGGCGUAGGCGGAUUAGUCAGUCAGAGGUGAAAUCCCAGGGCUCAACCCUGGAACUGCCUUUGAUACUGCUAGUCUUGAGUUCGAGAGAGGUGAGUGGAAUUCCGAGUGUAGAGGUGAAAUUCGUAGAUAUUCGGAGGAACACCAGUGGCGAAGGCGGCUCACUGGCUCGAUACUGACGCUGAGGUGCGAAAGUGUGGGGAGCAAACAGGAUUAGAUCCCCCGUAGUC
This 438-nucleotide ribosomal RNA is filed under the name uncultured bacterium. Its description in RNAcentral is "partial 16S ribosomal RNA". It matches the Rfam family "Bacterial small subunit ribosomal RNA", at positions 339 to 795 of the family's 1533-position model. The record is from RNAcentral.